Molecule: ribosomal RNA, 465 nt
Filed under: uncultured Klebsiella sp.
Lineage: Bacteria; Pseudomonadati; Pseudomonadota; Gammaproteobacteria; Enterobacterales; Enterobacteriaceae
Description: bacterial SSU rRNA
Rfam family: Bacterial small subunit ribosomal RNA
Source: RNAcentral
CCUACGGGCGGCUGCAGUGGGGAACAUUGCACAAUGGGCGCAAGCCUGAUGCAGCCAUGCCGCGUGUGUGAAGAAGGCCUUCGGGUUGUAAAGCACUUUCAGCGGGGAGGAAGGCGGUGAGGUUAAUAACCUCAUCGAUUGACGUUACCCGCAGAAGAAGCACCGGCUAACUCCGUGCCAGCAGCCGCGGUAAUACGGAGGGUGCAAGCGUUAAUCGGAAUUACUGGGCGUAAAGCGCACGCAGGCGGUCUGUCAAGUCGGAUGUGAAAUCCCCGGGCUCAACCUGGGAACUGCAUUCGAAACUGGCAGGCUAGAGUCUUGUAGAGGGGGGUAGAAUUCCAGGUGUAGCGGUGAAAUGCGUAGAGAUCUGGAGGAAUACCGGUGGCGAAGGCGGCCCCCUGGACAAAGACUGACGCUCAGGUGCGAAAGCGUGGGGAGCAAACCGGAUUAGAUACCCCAGUAGUC